RNAcentral lists this ribosomal RNA (426 nucleotides) under uncultured Actinomycetes bacterium. RNAcentral's name for it is "bacterial SSU rRNA". It matches the Rfam family "Bacterial small subunit ribosomal RNA", at positions 958 to 1385 of the family's 1533-position model. The record is from RNAcentral. Lineage: Bacteria; Bacillati; Actinomycetota; Actinomycetes.
AACGCGAAGAACCUUACCAAGGUUUGACAUGGCCGGAAAACUCGCAGAGAUGCGGGGUCCUUCGGGGCCGGUCACAGGUGGUGCAUGGCUGUCGUCAGCUCGUGUCGUGAGAUGUUGGGUUAAGUCCCGCAACGAGCGCAACCCUCGUCCCAUGUUGCCAGCAGGUAAAGCUGGGGACUCAUGGGAGACUGCCGGGGUCAACUCGGAGGAAGGUGGGGAUGACGUCAAGUCAUCAUGCCCCUUAUGUCUUGGGCUGCAAACAUGCUACAAUGGCCGGUACAAAGCGCUGCGACAUCGUGAGAUGAAGCGAAUCGCAUAAAGCCGGUCUCAGUUCGGAUCGGGGUCUGCAACCCGGCCCCGUGAAGCCGGAGUCGCUAGUAAUCGCGGAUCAGCAACGCCGCGGUGAAUACGUUCCCGGGCCUUGUA